GGAAAGAUGACCGAGAUGGACGAAGGUGUCACACUGCUAAUGUGAUGUAUGCAAUUGCUUACCGAGGGUUCGAAUCCCUCUCUUUCCG
This 88-nucleotide transfer RNA is filed under the name Lachnospiraceae bacterium. RNAcentral's name for it is "tRNA-Ser". It matches the Rfam family "tRNA". Rfam says of the family: Transfer RNA (tRNA) molecules are approximately 80 nucleotides in length. Their secondary structure includes four short double-helical elements and three loops (D, anti-codon, and T loops). Lineage: Bacteria; Bacillati; Bacillota; Clostridia; Lachnospirales; Lachnospiraceae. RNAcentral also lists the same sequence under 1 other name. The record is from RNAcentral.